This 1372-nucleotide ribosomal RNA is filed under the name uncultured bacterium. RNAcentral describes it as "bacterial SSU rRNA". It matches the Rfam family "Bacterial small subunit ribosomal RNA", at positions 28 to 1381 of the family's 1533-position model. The record is from RNAcentral.
GAUGAACGCUGGCGGCGUGCCUAAUACAUGCAAGUCGAGCGAACGGACGAGAAGCUUGCUUCUCUGAUGUUAGCGGCGGACGGGUGAGUAACACGUGGAUAACCUACCUAUAAGACUGGGAUAACUUCGGGAAACCGGAGCUAAUACCGGAUGAUAUUUUGAACCGCAUGGUUCAAAAGUGAAAGACGGUCUUGCUGUCACUUAUAGAUGGAUCCGCGCUGCAUUAGCUAGUUGGUAAGGUAACGGCUUACCAAGGCAACGAUGCAUAGCCGACCUGAGAGGGUGAUCGGCCACACUGGAACUGAGACACGGUCCAGACUCCUACGGGAGGCAGCAGUAGGGAAUCUUCCGCAAUGGGCGAAAGCCUGACGGAGCAACGCCGCGUGAGUGAUGAAGGUCUUCGGAUCGUAAAACUCUGUUAUUAGGGAAGAACAUAUGUGUAAGUAACUGUGCACAUCUUGACGGUACCUAAUCAGAAAGCCACGGCUAACUACGUGCCAGCAGCCGCGGUAAUACGUAGGUGGCAAGCGUUAUCCGGAAUUAUUGGGCGUAAAGCGCGCGUAGGCGGUUUUUUAAGUCUGAUGUGAAAGCCCACGGCUCAACCGUGGAGGGUCAUUGGAAACUGGAAAACUUGAGUGCAGAAGAGGAAAGUGGAAUUCCAUGUGUAGCGGUGAAAUGCGCAGAGAUAUGGAGGAACACCAGUGGCGAAGGCGACUUUCUGGUCUGUAACUGACGCUGAUGUGCGAAAGCGUGGGGAUCAAACAGGAUUAGAUACCCUGGUAGUCCACGCCGUAAACGAUGAGUGCUAAGUGUUAGGGGGUUUCCGCCCCUUAGUGCUGCAGCUAACGCAUUAAGCACUCCGCCUGGGGAGUACGACCGCAAGGUUGAAACUCAAAGGAAUUGACGGGGACCCGCACAAGCGGUGGAGCAUGUGGUUUAAUUCGAAGCAACGCGAGGAACCUUACCAAAUCUUGACAUCCUUUGACAACUCUAGAGAUAGAGCCUUCCCCUUCGGGGGACAAAGUGACAGGUGGUGCAUGGUUGUCGUCAGCUCGUGUCGUGAGAUGUUGGGUUAAGUCCCGCAACGAGCGCAACCCUUAAGCUUAGUUGCCAUCAUUAAGUUGGGCACUCUAAGUUGACUGCCGGUGACAAACCGGAGGAAGGUGGGGAUGACGUCAAAUCAUCAUGCCCCUUAUGAUUUGGGCUACACACGUGCUACAAUGGACAAUACAAAGGGCAGCGAAACCGCGAGGUCAAGCAAAUCCCAUAAAGUUGUUCUCAGUUCGGAUUGUAGUCUGCAACUCGACUACAUGAAGCUGGAAUCGCUAGUAAUCGUAGAUCAGCAUGCUACGGUGAAUACGUUCCCGGGUCU